Meleagris gallopavo (turkey) is the source of this 2828-nucleotide non-coding RNA. The record is from RefSeq and is a predicted model, not a curated record. Lineage: Eukaryota; Metazoa; Chordata; Aves; Galliformes; Phasianidae.
ACCUGUCGUUUGAUGGACAGCUCCCUCACCGAAUAGCAGAAGGCCAGGCCGCCGCGUGGCACGCGCCUCUCGCGCGGAGGGGCGGGGACACGGGCUGUUAGGCGGGAAAAGCGUAUAAAAGCUGCCGGGCGGGCAGGGGUGCCCCUCAGGUAGCGGACCUGUCGUAGGUUUGCUUUGUGGCUUUUCGGGUCCCGAAAUGGAUCUCUAGGGACCUCUUAAUUCUUAAAUAUGGUUUUGAGCCUUUUUCUACUAGUCGGAAAGCGCUUGGCUGAGUAGCAUUAUCAGAGCUAGGAAAGCACGCAGCAAGUGCGUGAGGUGCGGAGAGAAGCAGGGUGGGUUCUCAGCACCUCCACCGCUUAGAGGCCGCGGGGCUUGCAGUUGUGGCUGCCGUUGCUUCGUGUUCGCUGGACGCUCUGCUGUUGCUGCUGAAAAUCAUUUUUGGGAUCUCCUGCAUCAGGUCGUGGAGGAAGGAACAAACUGCUGCACCAUUCAAGGAUUUUAAGGUAGAGUUUCACCGUGAUUCAUUGGUGAAAUAUAUGCUCAAUCCAAACGUUAAACCUGUCUAAGAACCAUCAUAAUUACAGUGUGUCCUCGGUGCUUGUGGGAAAGAAGACAGAGCGCAGAAUUAAAACUUUGCGAAGUCAGAAUGAGGCCUGCAAUGAAGCUAGCCCUGAGGUUUCAAAAAGCUGUUGCUGUAGCUAUGUAGGGGAAUUUUGCUUUUAAGAAAGCAAGAAAAAAAAAUAAAACUGGAGGCCACCUUUUAAGAAUGCGAUUGCCAAAGUUACAAAGAAUGAAUCAUUGGCGCCGAUUUUUACGUUGCGUAGCUCCGUAGUUAUCUUUGUUAUGCUGACUGUGUCAGAUUGCUGGUGAUGUGUCUGCAGAGGGCUGCUGUUGAGUCUGUAACAUUGACACCCUGAUACUGUCCUCUCCUCUUUCAGCUAAUUCAACUAUUGAGAAAGAUCAAAGAAAAGGAGGAGGAGGGCUGACAAGAACCAGUGUAUGAGAUGCCUGCAAAGCUUUAAAUAAAUAAAAGGGAGUUAAGACUUCAAAUUUGUUGCAGGAUAUCUGGGGAUGUGGGGCCCUGUUUUGCUUUUACAAAUUAAGUCUUCUCUCACAGAGCAUGCUAUCAUGCUUAUAUCUUUGUGAAUCCCGUCGUUUGAAUAUGAAUAAGUUUGAGCAAAGCACAGUUGUAUAUUACUAGGCAUAUCUGGAAAUAUUAAAGCUAAAAAAACCCCUGUGGCUUCUGGUAGACUACCAACUGCUGCUUUUGUUUCCCUGCAUAGCAAAAUUAGAUUAGUGGCUUUCAGUGUUAGUAUCUAGUUUGUUUCACUUUCCAAUUCACAAGAGUUGAGGAAUGUGUAAGCAAGAGCCUAACCUUGCCUCCCUCCAGAAAAGAACAACUCUACAUGAAAACUUAAGAUAAAAGGGAAAAUUGGAGACAAUGAGCGGUGAAAGGUUUCACAGUGAAAGGUUCCUCAGCUGAAAUAAGGCUUUGUGGGCCAAGCAGGAAUGUUUUUGACCACUUGCAGAAAGUAGCAAUGUAUUUGGAUUAACAUUUGAGAUAGGGGUAGUUCAGGAUGGUCACGAUAUGAUCUCUGUGACGCUUCCAGCACAGUGGAAAGGACCCUGUUUUUCUCCUACUUGCUUUCCAUGUGCCGGGAGGUGAGGAUGUGGGUUGUGCCUUCUGAAGAUCUGCUUGCUCCUGCCCUAUGGGAUCAGAGUGCUUUAGGCAUCAUGCUAAUGCCAGAGAUUUUACUGUGUUAUGUCAAAAUCUACCUUCCAUUUUUAAUGGUGAGAGUUGGCUGUCCAAGCAGUUGGCAACCAUUUAUUAAAAAUAAACCUAUAUUAUCUUUCUUUAAUGCUAAAUGUUUUUACAGUGCGUAUAUUUCCUUGAAGCCUCCUUGGACUGUUUUUGGUAGGUCUGAAUCAACUAUCAGAAGUUAUUGGGAAUGUAAAAAUCGUGAAGUUGGAACUCAGUGGAUAUGGAAGUGAGGUAUUUCAGAUGUGUGGGCCUUGAAUUGAUGCUCAUGCGUGGUUUAGAUCCACAUUAACAGUAUUGAUUAGUGACUUACGGUAGCCCAAAACCAGAAGACAAAUGAAUCUAAAACCUUAGUUUGUGAAUGAUCAGUUGAUGAUGGAGUGCUGUGUGUGUGUGGAUAUGGAGCUCUCUGUGAUAUGGUUUGUUUUAUUAAUAACAUUUUGUAACGGCUCUCUUCCUUUCAACUAGUAAAUCAGUGAAUAAGUUACGUAGGUCGCUGUGUGUGUGCCGUCAGUCAGUGCUCUGUGCCUUCUUUACAGCUAAACCAGUAAACUAAAUGCUGCUCAGGCCUCCAUGAAACGUGCUAUUGGAAAGCUAGGUGUGAGCGAGAUUGAAUGUCUCCAUCUGCAGAGAUAGAGCAGGAAUGGGCCCUGGUGCGGCCGCUCUGCACUCGGCCUGCUGGGACCCCUCUGAGCAGGAUGGCUCUGAUGCUCCCCUGGCCGGUAGCUGUGGUGGUUAUCGCUGCCUGCUGUGCCUGCUGGUGGCUGAUACAGGCCCAGUGCCCAUGUGGAAGGAGCAGCAAGGGAGGGAGGGCUGUUGCAAGAGCAGGAGAAAACCGCACUCCCCGCAGAGUGUGCCGAGAUCUCUGUGCCUGCAGAGCAGGAAUGGGCCUUUAUCUCCAUCCAAAAAGGGUCAGAGAGGCUUGUUACGCUUCUGAAAAUGACCUCAAACAAGUUUGUUUUGUUUUAAUUCUCUCAAAGCGUCACCAUUUUGUAUUAGGGUAUCUCAGGACUUCCUAGAGCACAGCCGGAUGUUGGUGCCUUCCCUCAGCAGCCUAACGCUGCCUCCA